GACGAACGCUGGCGGCGCGCCUAACACAUGCAAGUCGAGCGAGAAGCGACCCUUCGGGGACGUGGAAGCGGCGAACGGGUGAGUAUCACGUGGGUAAUCUGCCCUCGGUUCUGGGAUAGCCCGGGGAAACCCGGAUUAAUACCGGAUAGCCUCUCGAGCCUUUGGGUUCGUGAGAAAAGGUAGCUUCGGCCUCUGACCGAGGAUGAGCCCGCGGCGGAUUAGCUUGAUGGUUGAGGUAACGGCUCACCAUGGCAACAAUCCGUAGCUGGUCUGAGAGGACGAUCAGCCACACUGGGACUGAGACACGGCCCAGACUCCUACGGGAGGCAGCAGUGGGGAAUCUUGCGCAAUGGGCGAAAGCCUGACGCAGCGACGCCGCGUACGGGAAGAAGGCCUUCGGGUUGUAAACUGUUUUCAGGAGGGACGAAGCCACUCGAGUUAACAGCUCAGAGGGUGACGGUACCUCCAGAAGAAGCCCCGGCUAACUACGUG
RNAcentral lists this ribosomal RNA (492 nucleotides) under uncultured bacterium. RNAcentral's name for it is "bacterial SSU rRNA". It matches the Rfam family "Bacterial small subunit ribosomal RNA", at positions 28 to 507 of the family's 1533-position model. The record is from RNAcentral.